CGCACAUUGCGCCCGGCAGCAUUCUGCCGGGCAUGCCUGUUCGAGCGUCAUUUCAACCCUCGCGCCCCCUUCGGGGGGCACGGCGUUGGGGUACGGCAGCACACUGAGCCGGCCCCGAAAUGGAGUGGCGGCCCGUCCGCGGCGACCUCUGCGUAGUACUUACACCUCGCACCGGGACCCCGACGUGGCCACGCCUCAAAACACCCCAAUUUCUGAACGUUGACCUCGGAUCAGGUAGGAAUACCCGCUGAACUUAA
RNAcentral lists this unclassified non-coding RNA (257 nucleotides) under Cordycipitaceae sp. RNAcentral's name for it is "partial contains 5.8S ribosomal RNA, internal transcribed spacer 2, and large subunit ribosomal RNA". Lineage: Eukaryota; Fungi; Ascomycota; Sordariomycetes; Hypocreales; Cordycipitaceae. The record is from RNAcentral.